This 135-nucleotide ribosomal RNA is filed under the name Prolemur simus (greater bamboo lemur). Lineage: Eukaryota; Metazoa; Chordata; Mammalia; Primates; Lemuridae. The record is from RNAcentral.
GUCUUCAGCCAUACCACCCAGAAUGCACCCGAUCUCAUCUGAUCUCAGAAGCUAAGCAGGGUCAGGCCUGGUUAGUACUCAGUGGCUCAGACUGUGUUUCUUAGUGGAGACUGUGACAAGGCUUUGCUGGAGACA